RNAcentral lists this ribosomal RNA (497 nucleotides) under Escherichia coli. RNAcentral describes it as "partial 23S ribosomal RNA". It matches the Rfam family "Bacterial large subunit ribosomal RNA", at positions 2354 to 2845 of the family's 2925-position model. Lineage: Bacteria; Pseudomonadati; Pseudomonadota; Gammaproteobacteria; Enterobacterales; Enterobacteriaceae. The record is from RNAcentral.
AUGGCAUAAGCCAGCUUGACUGCGAGCGUGACGGCGCGAGCAGGUGCGAAAGCAGGUCAUAGUGAUCCGGUGGUUCUGAAUGGAAGGGCCAUCGCUCAACGGAUAAAAGGUACUCCGGGGAUAACAGGCUGAUACCGCCCAAGAGUUCAUAUCGACGGCGGUGUUUGGCACCUCGAUGUCGGCUCAUCACAUCCUGGGGCUGAAGUAGGUCCCAAGGGUAUGGCUGUUCGCCAUUUAAAGUGGUACGCGAGCUGGGUUUAGAACGUCGUGAGACAGUUCGGUCCCUAUCUGCCGUGGGCGCUGGAGAACUGAGGGGGGCUGCUCCUAGUACGAGAGGACCGGAGUGGACGCAUCACUGGUGUUCGGGUUGUCAUGCCAAUGGCACUGCCCGGUAGCUAAAUGCGGAAGAGAUAAGUGCUGAAAGCAUCUAAGCACGAAACUUGCCCCGAGAUGAGUUCUCCCUGACUCCUUGAGAGUCCUGAAGGAACGUUGAAGAC